AGGGGACCCGGGCAAUAAGGCCGGGCAGCCCGGCCCAGCUCCCCUGUGCUUCCUCACCCCGUGCACGGGAAACCUCUGGAAGGGAGGAGGCUGGAGGCAGAGGAGCCAAGGGGCGGCUCUGCCGGGCAGGGCGCCACCCUGAGGAGAUUCUCCAAGGGCCACCUGCCAGGACAGCUGCCCAGGUGGGUUCGCCGGGUACGUGGGAUUCCCACUUUGUGGCAGUCACUGACCUUCAGUCACCCGGGAGGAAGCCUCAAGGCCACAGGGGCCUCAUAAUCUCCCCACCGAGUUCCUGGAGUCGGCCCUUGGAGGUCAUUUGGGUCAAGGGCAGCAGCCAGGCGUCCGAGUCCAUCUGCCGUCCCUCCCGUCUUCUGGGUCCCCGGAGCCGCAGCCGCGCGUCUAGAGAGCCCAGCAGUGGAGACAAGAAUGAGCCUGACUCCUGCGGCUGGCUGGCGGCACCCUCUUCUCUCCUGGCAAGUGGUUCUUGCUGCCUCUCUGCCCUGCGGCUCCCCACCCACCGCCCUUGCUUCCUACACAGCGCCUGUUUCAUCUCUGGACUUCUAGGGGACCACCUCUUGGCCCAUGGCUGUAGCUGCCUGGGAGAAUGUCCUCCAUCUGGAGCAGCACAAUCAGAAAGGCAUCUCUUCCUCCAGGCUCAUGCCAAGGGUAUGACUCGGCUGGGGCUGCCUCCUCGACUCUCUGCCGAGGCCCAAGGCUGGGAAGUGUCUGGGAUGCACACGUCACAGGGGCGGCUCUGGCUUCAUCCCCAUCCUCCAUCUCGUGCCCUUUCCCUUCAGAAAGCUCCUGCUGUGGACAGGCGAAAGGAAAGCUCUCGACAAAAUCUUUCAUCUCAGCCCCCUCCCAACUAAAUUAAGACCAAUAAAACUCCCACUCAACAAAUCCACAGGCCAAAAUAAA
This 918-nucleotide long non-coding RNA is filed under the name Equus caballus (horse). RNAcentral's name for it is "lncRNA (ENSECAG00000059112.1)". The record is from RNAcentral. Lineage: Eukaryota; Metazoa; Chordata; Mammalia; Perissodactyla; Equidae.